CUGACUGCCCCACACAGGCAAAAGCACC
This 28-nucleotide non-coding RNA is filed under the name Homo sapiens (human). The record is from RNAcentral. Lineage: Eukaryota; Metazoa; Chordata; Mammalia; Primates; Hominidae.